Molecule: ribosomal RNA, 548 nt
Filed under: uncultured Glomeromycotina
Lineage: Eukaryota; Fungi; Glomeromycota
Description: SSU rRNA
Rfam family: Eukaryotic small subunit ribosomal RNA
Source: RNAcentral
UGGAGGGCAAGUCUGGUGCCAGCAGCCGCGGUAAUUCCAGCUCCAAUAGCGUAUAUUAAAGUUGUUGCAGUUAAAAAGCUCGUAGUUGAAUUUCGGGGUUAGUAGGUUGGUCAUGCCCCUGGUAUGUACUGGUCUCACUGAUUCCUCCUUCCUGAUGAGCCGUAAUGCCAUUAAUUUGGUGUUGCGGGGAAUUUGGACUGUUACUUUGAAAAAAUUAGAGUGUUUAAAGCAAGCUAACGCUUGAAUACAUUAGCAUGGAAUAAUGAAAUAGGACGUUCGAUCCUAUUUUGUUGGUUUCUAGGAUUGACGUACUGAUUAAUAGGGAUAGUUGGGGGCAUUAGUAUUCAAUUGUCAGAGGUGAAAUUCUUGGAUUUAUUGAAGACUAACUACUGCGAAAGCAUUUGCCAAGGAUGUUUUCAUUAAUCAAGAACGAAAGUUAGGGGAUCGAAGACGAUCAGAUACCGUCGUAGUCUUAACCAUAAACUAUGCCGACUAGGGAUGGGAUGAUGUUAAUUUUUUAAUGACUCAUUCGGCGCCUUACGGGAAAC